Molecule: ribosomal RNA, 1380 nt
Filed under: uncultured bacterium
Lineage: Bacteria
Description: partial 16S ribosomal RNA
Rfam family: Bacterial small subunit ribosomal RNA
Source: RNAcentral
AGAGUUUGAUCCUGGCUCAGGAUGAACGCUGGCGGCGUGCUUAACACAUGCAAGUCGAACGGACUUAGAGUGAAACCUAGUGAUCUUUAAGUUAGUGGCGGACGGGUGAGUAACGCGUGGGUAACCUGCCUUGUACUGGGGGACAACAGUUGGAAACGACUGCUAAUACCGCAUAAGCGCACGGCUCCGCAUGGAGGUGUGUGAAAACCCUUCGGGGUACAAGAUGGACCCGCGUCUGAUUAGCCAGUUGGUGAGGUAACGGCCCACCAAAGCAACGAUCAGUAGCCGGCCUGAGAGGGUGAACGGCCACAUUGGGACUGAGACACGGCCCAAACUCCUACGGGAGGCAGCAGUGGGGAAUAUUGCACAAUGGGGGAAACCCUGAUGCAGCGACGCCGCGUGAGUGAAGAAGUAUUUCGGUAUGUAAAGCUCUAUCAGCAGGAAAGAAAAUGACGGUACCUGACUAAGAAGCCCCGGCUAACUACGUGCCAGCAGCCGCGGUAAUACGUAGGGGGCAAGCGUUAUCCGGAUUUACUGGGUGUAAAGGGAGCGUAGACGGUUUGGCAAGUCUGAAGUGAAAACCCGGGGCUUAACUCCGGGAUUGCUUUGGAAACUGUCGGACUAGAGUGCAGGAGAGGUAAGUGGAAUUCCUAGUGUAGCGGUGAAAUGCGUAGAUAUUAGGAGGAACACCAGUGGCGAAGGCGGCUUACUGGACUGUAACUGACGUUGAGGCUCGAAGGCGUGGGGAGCAAACAGGAUUAGAUACCCUGGUAGUCCACGCGGUAAACGAUGAUUACUAGGUGUUGGGGGGCUAUAGCCCUUCGGUGCCGCCGCAAACGCAUUAAGUGAUCCACCUGGGGAGUACGUUCGCAAGAAUGAAACUCAAAGGAAUUGACGGGGACCCGCACAAGCGGUGGAGCAUGUGGUUUAAUUCGAAGCAACGCGAAGAACCUUACCCGGUCUUGACAUCCCUCUGACAGCAUAUGUAAUGUAUGUUCCCUUCGGGGCGGGAAUCGAGGUGCUGCAUGGUUGUCGUCAGCUCGUGCCGUGAGGUGUCGGCUUAAGUGCCAUAACGAGCGCAACCCUUGUUGACAGUUGCCAUCAGGUCAGGCUGGGGACUCUGUCGAGACUGCCACCGUAAGGUGUGAGGAAGGGGGGGAUGACGUCAAAUCAGCACGGCCCUUAUGUCCGGGGCGACACACGUGUUACAAUGGUGACUACAGAGGGCAGCUACCCCGCGAGGGGAUGCAAAUCCCGAAAGGUCAUCCCAGUUCGGAUCGGAGUCUGCAACCCGACUCCGUGAAGUUGGAUUCGCUAGUAAUCGCGCAUCAGCCAUGGCGCGGUGAAUAAGUUCCCGGGCCUUGCACACACCGCCCGUCA